This 402-nucleotide long non-coding RNA is filed under the name Lathyrus oleraceus (garden pea). Its description in RNAcentral is "Pisum sativum (pea) long non-coding RNA (PSAT_LNC003953)". The record is from RNAcentral. Lineage: Eukaryota; Viridiplantae; Streptophyta; Magnoliopsida; Fabales; Fabaceae.
UAAGCCACGCAUACAUAUUUACAUUAUUUUCAGCAAAUGUUGAAAGGUUUACAUCGGCUCUACAACCGGAAUCAAAAAUCCAACACACACACUACAAUCCACACAAUUACAGAACCAAUAUUAACCUACGCGAAUAGCAUAAGCAAAAACAAACACAAAAGUAUGAACCAAACGCAACUCAAUAGCACAAGCGAAAUAAUGAAAGAAGGACCAAAUUAAAAAUUUUAUCCACACACUUGAGAGCUAACUGCGUACUGUUGUUGUGUAUAGUUGAUGCUGAGUUGCGGAGAUCGUCGAGGUUGUUGUUGUGUGGUAGCAGACUUGGAUUGUGAACAGUGACGAGUUGUUGCUAGAAGUUGCUGCGUUGAAGUUUACUGUUACUGUUACGGUGGUUCAGAAAAA